AUGGGGAUUUGCCAUGGGCGCAGCCUGAUGCAGCGACGCCGCGUGAGGGAUGACGGCCUUCGGGUUGUUAAACGCUUUCGGUAGGGAAGAAGCGAAAGUGACGGUACCUGGAGAAGAAGGACCGGCUAACUACGUGCCAGCAGCCGCGGUAAUACGUAGGGUGCGAGCGUUAUCCGGAAUUAUUGGGCGUAAAGAGCUCGUACGGGGUUUGUCGCGUCUGUCGUGAAAGUCCGGGGCUUAACCCCGGAUCUGCGGUGGGUACGGGCAGACUACAGUGCAGUAGGGGAGACUGGAAUUCCUGGUGUAGCGGUGGAAUGCGCAGAUAUCAAGAGGAACACCGAUGGCGAAGGCAGGUCUCUGGGCUGUAACUGACGCUGAGGAGCGAAAGCAUGGGGAGCGAACAGGAUUAGAUACCCUGGUAGUCCAUGCCGUAAACGUUGGGCACUAGGUGUGGGGACCAUUCCACGGUUUCCGCGCCGCAGCUAACGCAUUAAGUGCCCCGCCUGGGGAGUACGGCCGCAAGGCUAAAACUCAAAGGAAUUGACGGGGGCCCGCACAAGCGGCGGAGCAUGCGGAUUAAUUCAAUGCAACGCGAAGAACCUUACCAAGGCUUGACAUGUUCUCGAUCGCCGUAGAGAUACAGUUUCCCCUUUGGGGCGGGUUCACAGGUGGUGCAUGGUUGUCGUCAGCUCGUGUGCGUGAGAUGUUGGGCUUAAGUCCCCAGCAUACUAGCGCAACCUCUCGUUACCAUGUUGCCAGCAUCGUAGUGAUGGGGCACUCAUGGGGAGACUGCCCGGGGGUCAACUCGGAGGAAAAGGUGAAGAACAACGUU
RNAcentral lists this ribosomal RNA (832 nucleotides) under Micrococcus sp. LZXC13. Its description in RNAcentral is "bacterial SSU rRNA". It matches the Rfam family "Bacterial small subunit ribosomal RNA", at positions 355 to 1186 of the family's 1533-position model. The record is from RNAcentral. Lineage: Bacteria; Bacillati; Actinomycetota; Actinomycetes; Micrococcales; Micrococcaceae.